GAAUCUUACGACAGCCCGNGUNAUGUCAUCCNAAAUUGGGNCGUUGGNUUUCAUAGGCUCACACUGAGACGCUCGCUUGUACAGCCUAACACAUGCAAGUCGAACGGCAGCACAGGAGAGCUUGCUCUCUGGGUGACGAGUGGCGGACGGGUGAGGAAUACAUCGGAAUCUACUCUGUCGUGGGGGAUAACGUAGGGAAACUUACGCUAAUACCGCAUACGACCUACGGGUGAAAGCAGGGGAUCUUCGGACCUUUUUUUUUUNGGGGCCCCGGGGCCCCGGGGAAAAAUUUUUUUUCUGGGGGGNAAAAAACACAAAGGUUUUUUUUUGNGGGGGGGCAAAAAAAAGGUGAGGGGGAUAAGAANCCCCCCCCAGANCACCCCCCCACAGGUGUGGCGGGGCACAACAACAAACAGGGGUUUUUUUUUGUGGCGGCGAAUUUUUUUUUCCCCCCCAUUAGGNCAAAGNGGGGGCGCAAAAAACAACAAUUUUUUUUUCUUUUUACAAAAAACGGUNNGAUAACCCCCACCAUUUUUUUUUAAAAAACACGGCGACAAAUUUUUUUUUUUGGGGGCUGGGGGGUCCCCCAUGGGGAAGGGGNAUAG
Molecule: ribosomal RNA, 605 nt
Filed under: uncultured bacterium
Lineage: Bacteria
Description: partial 16S ribosomal RNA
Source: RNAcentral